This 430-nucleotide ribosomal RNA is filed under the name uncultured bacterium. RNAcentral describes it as "partial 16S ribosomal RNA". It matches the Rfam family "Bacterial small subunit ribosomal RNA", at positions 29 to 507 of the family's 1533-position model. The record is from RNAcentral.
AGCGAACGCUGGCGGCAGGCUUAACACAUGCAAGUCGAGCGCCCCGCAAGGGGAGCGGCAGACGGGUGAGUAACACGUGGGAACGUACCCUUUGGUUCGGAACAACCCAGGGAAACUUGGGCUAAUACCGGAUAAGUCCGCGAGGAGAAAGAUUUAUCGCCGAAGGAUCGGCCCGCGUCUGAUUAGCUAGUUGGUGUGGUAACGGCGCACCAAGGCGACGAUCAGUAGCUGGUCUGAGAGGAUGAUCAGCCACACUGGGACUGAGACACGGCCCAGACUCCUACGGGAGGCAGCAGUGGGGAAUAUUGGACAAUGGGGCAACCCUGAUCCAGCCAUGCCGCGUGAGUGAUGAAGGCCCUAGGGUUGUAAAGCUCUUUCGGGGGGGAAGAUAAUGACGGUACCCACAGAAGAAGCCCCGGCUAACUUCGUG